GACAGGUCUUGGAUAAAUCGUCAAAUCUCAAUAUCGAUCAUAUGAUAGAUUCAAUUAGUUUGAGUCCAUAUAUGAUUUUCAUAAAAAAAAUUUUUCAUUAAUCACACUACUAUGGCCACAGACUUAAGGACUCAGUUUCUUAAAUCUCACAAAACUAUUCUCCUCUGUUAAGGUCGAUAGAUUGUAUUCAGGUAUGUACCU
This 201-nucleotide long non-coding RNA is filed under the name Elaeis guineensis (African oil palm). RNAcentral describes it as "long non-coding RNA (EGUI_LNC036756)". Lineage: Eukaryota; Viridiplantae; Streptophyta; Magnoliopsida; Arecales; Arecaceae. The record is from RNAcentral.